CCUAGAAGAGAAGAGGAGGUCAGCAGUGGGGCCCAGUGGCCAUGACUCCAGGCAUCUGAAUCAAGGGCAUCUCGGCAGGAGACAUGACACCAGGACAUGACGCCUGGGAGCACUCAGACUCCAGAAACUAUGUCAAGGGUUUUGAAGAAAAGAUGCCUCAUGUGUGUUGACUCUGCCCUCCACUGACCUCAGCGGAACUAACACUCCUACACUGCCUACCUGGUUGGGGUGAUCUGAAGACACAGGAGAGGCUGAGGAGUUUGAGAACCAGCAAGUUUAUCCAGAGACACUGUGUGUGGGACUUCUCAUUAUUAGAUUGCCAGGUCCAUUUAAUGCUUUCAUCCACACAGCCCUUCCCUCAAGGUCAGUCCUAUGAACUGUCCAGCUCCCAAUUCUGCCUCUGAUGGGGGCCCCACGGAUUGGUUAGGGCUGACUUCUGAGGCCACUGAUCUUUCCUGUGACCCCUGUGACUCCUGUCCUGGGGUUUGUUCAAAUUGCUCCUUAGACCCUUGCACUGUCGUGCCCCCCAGAGACCCCGCGGCAGGGCUUUACCCAUCCUGUGUGACUUCGACUGUGUCCAGCCAGCUGAACGUGCUCUGUGCCACCCCGUUCCACAGCGUGAUCUUUGCCGGUGUCACCUCAAUGCGGAAGUCCAUCUGAGUGCUGGCAAUGCCCAGUUUGCCAAAGUAAGUCUUUCUGGUCUGGGAGUCCAGGCUGUCUCUCUUCUCACCAAUAAUCUGCCCAUUAACUGUGAUGCCUGCCAGAGGGACAGGGCAGCAAGAGACCAGCAAUACCUUCAGAAUCCAGCCUGGUAUUUAGGGACGCACCUUCCCUUUCAGCCAGACCUACUAAGGGAUAGCACAGUGGGGCCCCCAGGGAGAGACCAGGACUUCAGAGCCAACCCUGUCUGUUCCUAGACACUUUGGGGUCAUGCUGGAAGCUGAGGGCUCACAUUGUGGAUCUGCCUCUUGCCUGAGCCAGGGAGUGUUGCUCAGAGAAAAACUAUUCCCCAGACACAGGCUGGGUCUUGCCUGCAGGCUCAGGCCACUCUUGACUCUAACCAUCUCCCCAACACUGCUGGCCCCUGGGGACUUGGUGAGCCUGUAGCCCUGGACAGCCCCCUGCAGGAUGUAAUCUGCACAUAAAGAUGGGUACAUUAUGGGCCUCGUGAUGAGCUGGUCCAUGUGCCUACCGUGGGGGGCUCCAGGCCUUCCCAGGAAGAGCCCCUGGCCCCAUCCUGCAGCCCUACCUAUGACAGGGUCCUGAAUGAGGCGCAGCACUGUGCCUGGGCCUUCAUCAAUGUUGAAGCAGAUGGCAUCGUCCUUCUCUGGAACUUGGAUGAUGAAGUGGGGAUCCCCAUCCACUGAGGGCACAUAGAGAAGGGGCUGGUUCUCGGGGUCUCUCACUGUUCCAGGGGCCUCCCCUUGCCUCCUGGCCCCUGUGGGAUGGCCUCCUAGACAGGCAGGAGGCCCUGAGCCCUGCAUCCUGAGCCUCCCCCCAGGAGGAGCCAGAGAACUCACCAUAAUAGUAGGGUGUCUGAGGAGGCUGGUAGCUGGCUGUGGACACAAAGGGAAAGAGGGCUGAGCCCAUAAGCAGACCUGGGGAGGCACUAAGUUCCCCAGCCAGAGUUUGGUUCAUGCCUCUCCCCCUCCCUCUCCUUAAUGCUCUUAACCCACCCCACCCCCCAUUUCCUCAGUACCCCAAUCAUCUGCCUGACCCAGUGAGCUGAUUCAGGAAAGACUCCAGAGGGAAUGGUGGGCAGCCAGCUGAUACUCACUCUGGGGAAGCCACCCUCAGUCAACUGACGAGAACCCUGAGACUCAGAGCGCAACAGAGCCCAGCCAGAGUUUGGCAGCAGAGCUGGGGCCUGAGCCCAGGUGUCCUGAGAGCCCUCCCCGGGUGGCACAUCCCCAGGUGUGCUUGGAAAGGCCUCCUUAGUCCUCUCGUGUCUCCCUCCUGGGACGCCGACCCAACUGAUGACUGAAGCUCACCUCCUGCAUCCAUAGGUCCUACGAGGAAGGAAGAAGAGAAAUGCAUUAGAAGCCACAGACUCCUGGUGUCAAGGGGGUGCCACACAAAGGCCCUGAACUGCCUAUCGUCCCCACACCUAGUGGGAAAUUCGUCCUUGGGCUGUGGAUCAAGGGUGUCGCACAAGAUGCCACUGGAGCCCCACCCGGCAUCAGCCCUCACCCCACCAUGCUGGGGAAUCAACCAGCCCGGCAGAGCUAUUUGGGACAGUAACCUGCCCAGCCCACUUCGCAAGGUAGAAUGGGACCAGGCUUUGAAAAUGGUUUCCCUGUCCUCCCGGUGCAGCUGAGACCCCAGUUCCUCUAGCAGGUCUCAUCAGCAAGCAGCUCCUGCCUCCAGCAUCCUCAUUCCUGACCAGGUGACCUGGGAGAAAGGUGAUGGUUAUGGCUUAUUCCCCUCCCCCUCACACACUCACUUGCAUCAUCCAGACCCCCAAGUUCAGACUCGCCCUGCUAGGGUCAGAGUUUCUGCCCCUGCCCCCCAACCGUGGCCCAAGAGGCAUCUAUGCCACCUUUUUCCCUGAGAAGGACUUGGUGAGGGCGCUGCCCAGGAGGUCAUUAGUGAUGAAUGAGGCUUCAGCAUCCAACGUGCUGAUGCCCUGGGGCUCGAAGAUGUCUGCCUUGAUCUGAAAUGGCAAAAGAUAAGGAGAUGUCAUUCCGUGGCAGUGCAGAGGCCAACCUCCAGGACAAGGACCAGGGCAAGGAGCUGGGUCAGUGAUGGUGCAGGGACCAGCCUCUAGGACAACUCUGUGAAGGCCAGUCCUGCUGUCUCCCACCAAGAAAAUGACCACAAGGGUUUGUAGACUGGUACUGUAAUCCCAAAGCUCUCCCACUAGCUGCCAUAUGGUGCUCACAUUCCACCACCAAAGCGUUUCCUUUGGCUUUCUACUCUGUUGUAGAUAAGAUGCCUGUGUACCUGGUUACAAACAUUACAGAGAUGCUUUGUAAUGUUGUCCCCAAGGACCCAGCUCCCAACCUGGAUCUGCGAGGUGCAGCCCAGCCUCCUCCCCUUGGCCCAGGUGCUGUGGCCAGAACCACCGUAAUUCCCUCAAACCCCCUGAGCCAAGUGGUGGGGCCUGGACUUCUGCAUUCUUGACCCUUCUGUGGGCUCUGCCCAGGGGCCCUUCCUCGCACCCCAGCCCUGGCAGUUUGAGCAGGGGCUGCAGGAGAGCAGCUGAUUACCUCAAAGUGCUUGACCAGUUGCUUGGGCUGGACCUUGAGGUACAUCUCAUACUUGCCCUUGUGCCUCUUCAGCAGCUCCUCGUAGGUUAGCUCAAAGGUGACCUUGCUGCCUGAAGCCACGUUGACUGAGACUGUGAAUUUCUCCAGCUUCCUCCCAGAGGCCCUGGACAGGGAUGUGAGACAGUGACUGCAUGAACCCACCCUUCCUGGGGUUUUAGUUCAAGCCCCUUCUCCUUGGGGGAAGACCUCCACCCACUCUGAGCCUUGGUUGCCUCAACUUCAAAACGGUUAAUGUUAUAAGAAUUAUAGGCGCAUUAAUGAAACAGUAGCUGCUGUUCUGUUGUUUGAGUUCUGAGGGCCUGGACAGCCCUGGCAUUCUCCCCAAGGCAUGGGAGGGGGGGUGUUGGGGAGGAGGUGGGUCACACUUACUUGACCAAGCCAGCCGUCUUGCCCUGGGACACGGCCUUUUCAUACUGCUUCUUGGCAACUUCCUUCUCCUUGACAUUCCCAGGGUACGUAACGCCAUCGAUGGUCCUGUAGGGAGAGAGAGUUGAGGGGCUUUUGCUGGGCCCGCCUCCCGUCCUGAGCCCAGAGCAAGCAGCCGUGGUGACACCCACAAGGUGAAAUUGGUGAUGAAGGCUGUCUUGGGCAGCUCCACAUCGAAAGAGACCUCCUUGGCCGUGUCUGCAUGGUUGACGGCCCUGGUGGUGACGACAUUGUGAGCGAAGCGGGAGGUCACCUUGCAGGUGAUCUUGGUGCUGUAGACCUCAAUGCCGUUGACCACCUGCAGGAGAGGGGUUGUUAGCAGCCAGCCUGAGGCACCUGGCUGCUCCACUUCCAAGCUCCUCUCUGCAGGCUCCAAAGCUUCUGCAUGGGCUUCAGGGAAGCAUCUGGGUUAAACAUGGAUAUAAAGAUGCUUCGUGAGGGUGUGACAGGGCCAUUCGCUGCGUAUCCCCUGCCCAGCACCCAGAGCCUGCUUUUUUGAGAGAUAAGACCCUCAACCAAGACAAGUCCUCUUGGAAGCUCUGAGCCUUGGAGGACACGUUGGAGAUGGACCUGUCCUGGUGCCUGGCUGCACUGCUGACCCAUGGUGAGUCCACUGGCUUCAACACCCCACCCCACAGCUCUGCAAUUCUAGCCAGCCGUACCCAGCAGCCCAUGUGUCCGCGCUGACAUCCUGUGACUAUCCAGCACGUAGAAGCCCAGGAAGUCCUGGUGGACAGCACUCCCCUUCCACACCCGGUGCAGGACGACCUCAAAGGUGCCCCUGUCCUCCACAGACACCAC
This is a non-coding RNA of Vicugna pacos (alpaca), 4496 nucleotides long. The record is from RefSeq and is a predicted model, not a curated record. NCBI's taxonomy places the organism in Eukaryota, Metazoa, Chordata, Mammalia, Artiodactyla, Camelidae.